This 507-nucleotide ribosomal RNA is filed under the name uncultured bacterium. RNAcentral's name for it is "bacterial SSU rRNA". It matches the Rfam family "Bacterial small subunit ribosomal RNA", at positions 8 to 526 of the family's 1533-position model. The record is from RNAcentral.
AGAGUUUGAUCCUGGCUCAGGACGAACGCUGGCGGCGUGCUUAACACAUGCAAGUCGAACGGUGAUGAUGGGGCUUGCCCUGUCGGAUCAGUGGCGAACGGGUGAGUAACACGUGAGUAACCUGCCCCAGACUCUGGGAUAACUCCGGGAAACCGGAGCUAAUACCGGAUAUGACACCAGCCCGCAUGGGCAUGGUGUGGAAAGUUUUUCGGUCUGGGAUGGACUCGCGGCCUAUCAGCUUGUUGGUGGGGUAAUGGCCUACCAAGGCGACGACGGGUAGCCGGCCUGAGAGGGUGACCGGCCACACUGGGACUGAGACACGGCCCAGACUCCUACGGGAGGCAGCAGUGGGGAAUAUUGCACAAUGGGCGCAAGCCUGAUGCAGCGACGCCGCGUGAGGGAUGACGGCCUUCGGGUUGUAAACCUCUUUCAGUAGGGAAGAAGCGUAAGUGACGGUACCUGCAGAAGAAGCACCGGCUAACUACGUGCCAGCCGCCGCGGUAAUAC